This 427-nucleotide ribosomal RNA is filed under the name uncultured bacterium. RNAcentral's name for it is "bacterial SSU rRNA". It matches the Rfam family "Bacterial small subunit ribosomal RNA", at positions 356 to 774 of the family's 1533-position model. The record is from RNAcentral.
GAGGAAUAUUGCGCAAUGGAGGAAACUCUGACGCAGCAACGCCGCGUGGGUGAAGAAGGCUUUCGGGUUGUAAAGCCCUGUCAGGCGGGAAGAAACUUCCGCAGGUGAAUAGUCUGUGGCACUGACGGUACCGCCAAAGGAAGCACCGGCUAACUCCGUGCCAGCAGCCGCGGUAAGACGGAGGGUGCAAGCGUUGUUCGGAAUUACUGGGCGUACAGCGCGUGUAGGCGGUCCGAUAAGUCGAGUGUGAAAGCCCGAGGCCCAACCACGGAAAUGCAUUCGAAACUGUCGGUCUUGAGUACGGGAGAGGGAAGUGGAAUUCCUGGUGUAGAGGUGAAAUUCGUAGAUAUCAGGAGGAACACCCGUGGCGAAGGCGGCUUCCUGGACCGAUACUGACGCUGAGACGCGAAAGCGUGGGGAGCAAACA